Molecule: ribosomal RNA, 492 nt
Filed under: uncultured bacterium
Lineage: Bacteria
Description: partial 16S ribosomal RNA
Rfam family: Bacterial small subunit ribosomal RNA
Source: RNAcentral
AGUGAACGCUGGCGGUAGGCCUAACACAUGCAAGUCGAACGGCAGCACAGUAAGAGCUUGCUCUUACGGGUGGCGAGUGGCGGACGGGUGAGGAAUACAUCGGAAUCUACUUUUUCGGGGGGGAUAACGUAGGGAAACUUACGCUAAUACCGCAUACGACCUACGGGUGAAAGCAGGGGAUCUUCGGACCUUGCGCGAUUGAAUGAGCCGAUGUCGGAUUAGCUAGUUGGCGGGGUAAAGGCCCACCAAGGCGACGAUCCGUAGCUGGUCUGAGAGGAUGAUCAGCCACCCUGGAACUGAGACACGGUCCAGACUCCUACGGGAGGCAGCAGUGGGGAAUAUUGGACAAUGGGCGCAAGCCUGAUCCAGCCAUACCGCGUGGGUGAAGAAGGCCUUCGGGUUGUAAAGCCCUUUUGUUGGGAAAGAAAAGCAGCAGGUUAAUACCCCGCUGUUCUGACGGUACCCAAAGAAUAAGCACCGGCUAACUUCGUG